RNAcentral lists this ribosomal RNA (422 nucleotides) under uncultured prokaryote. RNAcentral's name for it is "bacterial SSU rRNA". It matches the Rfam family "Bacterial small subunit ribosomal RNA", at positions 355 to 774 of the family's 1533-position model. The record is from RNAcentral.
UGAGGAAUAUUGGUCAAUGGGCGCGAGCCUGAACCAGCCAAGUAGCGUGAGGGACGACGGCCCUAUGGGUUGUAAACCUCUUUUAUGCGGGAAUAAAAUGUUUGACGUGUCAUACAUUGUAGGUACCGCAAGAAUAAGGACCGGCUAAUUCCGUGCCAGCAGCCGCGGUAACACGGAAGGUCCAGGCGUUAUCCGGAUUUAUUGGGUUUAAAGGGGGCGUAGGCCGCAAGUCAAGCGUGUUGUGAAAUGCAGGGGCUCAACCUCUGGAUUGCAGCGCGAACUGGCAUGCUUGAGUACGCACGAGGUAGGCGGAAUUUGUGGUGUAGCGGUGAAAUGCUUAGAUAUCACGAAGAACUCCAAUUGCGGAGGCAGCUGACCGGAGCGCAACUGACGCUGAAGCUCGAAAGUGCGGGUAUCGAACA